RNAcentral lists this ribosomal RNA (1368 nucleotides) under uncultured bacterium. Its description in RNAcentral is "16S ribosomal RNA". It matches the Rfam family "Bacterial small subunit ribosomal RNA", at positions 28 to 1381 of the family's 1533-position model. The record is from RNAcentral.
GAUGAACGCUAGCGACAGGCCUAACACAUGCAAGUCGAGGGGCAGCGGGGCGAGGAGCAAUCCUUGCCGCCGGCGACCGGCGCACGGGUGAGUAACGCGUAUGCGACCUGCCCGUUGCAGGGGGAUAAUCGGGAGAAAUCCCGUCUAAUACCGCGUAACGCCGCGGGGCUGCAUGGCCCUGCGGCCAAAGGAAGCGAUUCCGGCAACGGAUGGGCAUGCGUGACAUUAGCUAGUUGGCGGGGCAACGGCCCACCAAGGCGACGAUGUCUAGGGGUUCUGAGAGGAAGGUCCCCCACACUGGUACUGAGACACGGACCAGACUCCUACGGGAGGCAGCAGUGAGGAAUAUUGGUCAAUGGGCGCGAGCCUGAACCAGCCAAGUCGCGUGAGGGAUGACGGCCCUACGGGUUGUAAACCUCUUUUGUCGGGGAGCAAAUUCCGCCACGUGUGGCGGAGUCGAGAGUACCCGAAGAAAAAGCAUCGGCUAACUCCGUGCCAGCAGCCGCGGUAAUACGGAGGAUGCGAGCGUUAUCCGGAUUUAUUGGGUUUAAAGGGUGCGUAGGCGGACUGUCAAGUCAGCGGUAAAAUACGGGGGCUCAACCUCCGCCCGCCGUUGAAACUGACGGUCUUGAGUGGGCGAGAAGUAUGCGGAAUGCGUGGUGUAGCGGUGAAAUGCAUAGAUAUCACGCAGAACUCCGAUUGCGAAGGCAGCAUACCGGCGCCCAACUGACGCUGAAGCACGAAAGCGUGGGUAUCGAACAGGAUUAGAUACCCUGGUAGUCCACGCAGUAAACGAUGAAUACUAGCUGUCCGGGGCGAAUGAGCCCUGGGUGGCACAGCGAAAGCGUUAAGUAUUCCACCUGGGGAGUACGCCGGCAACGGUGAAACUCAAAGGAAUUGACGGGGGCCCGCACAAGCGGAGGAACAUGUGGUUUAAUUCGAUGAUACGCGAGGAACCUUACCCGGGCUCAAACGACACAGGAACGGUCCUGAAAGGGGUCGGCUCUACGGAGCCUGUGUCGAGGUGCUGCAUGGUUGUCGUCAGCUCGUGCCGUGAGGUGUCGGCUUAAGUGCCAUAACGAGCGCAACCCCUAUCGACAGUUGCUAACAGGUUAAGCUGAGGACUCUGUCGAGACUGCCGGCGCAAGCUGCGAGGAAGGCGGGGAUGACGUCAAAUCAGCACGGCCCUUACGUCCGGGGCGACACACGUGUUACAAUGGCAGGUACAGCGGGAAGCCACCUGGCGACAGGGAGCGGAACCCGAAAGCCUGUCUCAGUUCGGAUUGGAGUCUGCAACCCGACUCCAUGAAGCUGGAUUCGCUAGUAAUCGCGCAUCAGCCACGGCGCGGUGAAUACGUUCCCGGGCCU